This 253-nucleotide ribosomal RNA is filed under the name uncultured bacterium. Its description in RNAcentral is "partial 16S ribosomal RNA". It matches the Rfam family "Bacterial small subunit ribosomal RNA", at positions 524 to 776 of the family's 1533-position model. The record is from RNAcentral.
UACGUAGGGGGCUAGCGUUGUCCGGAAUCAUUGGGCGUAAAGAGCGUGUAGGCGGCCCGGUAAGUCCGCUGUGAAAGUCGGGGGCUCAACCCUCGAAUGCCGGUGGAUACUGUCAGGCUAGAGUGCGGAAGAGGCGAGUGGAAUUCCUGGUGUAGCGGUGAAAUGCGCAGAUAUCAGGAGGAACACCGAUUGCGAAGGCAGCUCGCUGGGACGUCACUGACGCUGAGACGCGAAAGCGUGGGGAGCAAACAGG